CCCAUCCCAGGUCAUCUAGUUAAACCUCCACAUUGUGUAAAAUUGAUGUGAUUUACUCAAAUAACUUAUUGACUAGACAGUAGUUCUCCAAAGUUCUGUCAGCUGUCCCCUUAAAAUAUAUUUCAGGUACUUACUCUUUUUUAUAUAAGGGUAUGAGUAAACUAUUAAAAGACAACACUUAGAAUUUUAAAUAUAAGUAGCAUUCCUCAUCUCCCCAAUUAGGCUGCAAGCUUCUUAAGGGCAUGUAUUUUAUGGAUGUAUAUCCCCCUCAGUAACACAAACCUUUGGAAUUGCACUUUGUGAAUAAAAUGACCCUGUCACAUGUUCUUCAAUGCUAGACAGAAUCAAACUGGCAAGAGCUGGGAAACUGAUAAGAUGCCUGGGAGUUAAGGAUUCUUGACUUCUCAGACAAAAAGUCUUCUGGGGUCAAAAAUCUCUGCCACAAACAAAAUCUGUUCCUUUCUGCCAAUGGCUCAUGUUGCCUUUGGAGGCAGAAACCUAAUAUGAAUGUAUCUUCAGGAAGCUGGGCACAUCAGAGCCAAGACAGAAAUUGGACACAAACUCUAAGAAUAUGGUGGUUAUAAUUCAGAUGAUACAGUUGUGAAUGGAGUUUCCUGAAGACAGUAAUAAGAAAUGUGGAUUUCCAGUCUCAAACUCCAACCAGUUGUGUCAGAGUGCUACUAACCUGUUUCAGGAGGUACUAUCUUCCAACUACUGAACAUUUUUCAUUAAAGAGCAAGCUCCCUACAGGAAGAUACCAAAUUUUAUCUUUUUCCUUAACUAAAGGCAUAGUCCACUUAAACCUAGUUCACUAAAUAUUACCUAGGAUCUGGUCACUCAAUUGCUAUAGUAGCUUCCAAAUGGCAUCUAUAUACCUCUGUUCUCUGAGAACACAGUUUAAGUGCCUAGGCUCUUUCAUGAAUGAAGAACCUUGAUCCAAUCAGGACUUAACAGAAAAUCAUUACCAGUUCACAUUUAGCUAAGCUCACCUCUUGGAGUUCAAUAAUGGAGUUUCUGUAUAACCUCUCAAACAUGUAUGUAGAAUAACACCCAAGGAAAAAUGAAAGCUGCAAAACAGAUUGCUAUAAACUAAUCUGCAGUGUCCUAAGACCUUUGCAUUACCUCAAACACUGACCUUACCAGCUUAAUGGCAUUCUGUCCAAACUAUUCCUAUCAUAAUUAAUUUUAAUGUCUGGCUGGACACGGUGGCUCACAGCUGUAAUCCCAGCACUUCGGGAGGCCAAGGUGGGCAGACAGCUUAAGGCCAGGAGUUCGAGACCAGCUUGGGCAACAUGGUGAAACUCCAUCUCUACUAAAAAUAGAAAAGAUUAGCCAGGCAUGGUGGUGCACACCUGUGGUCCCAGCUACUCAGGAGGCUAAGGUGGGAGGACUGCUUAAGCCCAGGAGGCAGAGGUUGCAGUGAGCCAAGAUCGUGCCACUGCACUCCAGCCUGGGCGAUGGAGUGAGACUCUGUCUCAAAAAAAAAAAAAAAAAAUUAUAUAUAUACAUACAUGUAUGUAUAUAUAUAUGUAGGUGAUCCCUACAAUACUCUAACCUCUCAGUUCCCUGACUUACUCUUUCAAUGAUCUAGAUUAGGGAUUGAUUGACAAACUAGAAACUAGUACCUUCUCAGUACCAAUAAUGAAAACCUCCCAAAUCUCAAUCUCAAGCAUCCUACUGUCUUAACAUCAUCACUCAUCCUUCCAUCUCUUUCCCUCUAGUACCCCAAAAAUUUUUUCAACACGACAGUCCCCUACAAUUCACAAAUGUAACCACCUUUUUCAUUCUUCACCCACUCCAUUCCUGAUUCUCUCUUUACCGAGCCUUUAGAUUCUACUCCCCAUCAUUACAAUCACCCCCGCAUCCUCCACUCCACUGCCCUUCUCUCCAUUUGUUGUAUUUAUCUGUUAACCUUAAGGCAGAUUUUUAAAACUGCCUAUUCCUUACCAGAGUCUGCUCAGUAUCAGGUAGCUGGAGAAAAAACACAACCAUGGCAGCUUGUCUUAUUUUAACCUCAAGUUGGCCACACUGGAUGCCCAUCGAUCCUACUUUCUCAUCUCUCAACCCCCAACCCCCACCCUCAUCCUCAGUUUAUUUCACUGAGAAAAUAGAAGCCACCAAAAUAACUUUAACAGAAUCCCACUGCCCUACCAACUACCCAAGGAAGGUUGAAUGUGUGCCCAAGACCCCAUCCUCCCUUGCCUACUCGAGGUCCUCUCCUCUAUUUUUCCUCUCAAACAUUCCUAUCAUUAACAAAAAGGCUAUAAUUUCCUGCAUCUUAAAACCCGAAUGUUCUGAUUAAUUUUCCCUGUCAAACCAUCAACAGGAAAAGAAGCUAUAAUAUCCUGCAUCUUAAAACUAUCACGUAUUACUUUCCUGGAAACCUGAUAGGAAGAAUUGGAAUCGUUGUCUUCAAUUCUUCAAAUCUCUGUUGGACCCACUCCUUUCAGGCUUUGGCUUGCCACCAUCGCGCUGAACCUACUCUGGGGGAAGUUAUCAGUUCUCUCUUUAUUGGUCCAUUUUGAGCCCUCAUUUACUUCACCUAUCAGCAACACGGGACAGUUAAUCAUCGCUCCUUGAAACUAUUAUUCAUUUGGUUUAGGGGACUACCCUUGCUUUUUGAGACAGGGUCUUGCUCUGUCACCCAGGCUGGAGUGCAGUAGCACCAUCUUAGCUCACUGCAGCCUCCAACUCCUGGGCUCAAGUGAUCCUCCUGCCUUAGCCUCCUAAGUAGCCAGGACUACAGGCAUGUGCUACCAUGCCCAGUUCAUAUUUUUAUUUCUUAAUUUUUUGUAGAGGAGACCUAGUCUCUUUCCCACGCUAGUCAUGAGCUCCUGGGCUCAGAUGCUGCUGCCCCGCCUUGGCAUCUUGAAGUGCUACAGGCCUGAGCUACCACACGCAGCUUAUUUUUUAAUAUAUCCACCAGUGGAAUACCCUUCUUUGAAGGUCACUACUCCUAACCCAACCAUACUGGCAGCUCCCUCAUUUGCUGGCUCCUCACCUCCCCAAAUCUAAACAUAAGCAUGUGUCAGUGCUCGGUCCUUGUACCUCUUCUCUGUCUGCAUUCAAUGCACGGUACUCUCCUGUCUCAGGAUGAUGCCGCCCCUGUGUAGCUCUCAGGCUGGGCCUUUCUCCUGAACUCGAGUCUGAUACAUGCUAAUGCCUAUGUGACACCCCCACUUGGAAGUCUAAAAGACAUUUAAAACAAUGUCUAAAACCAAAAUUCCUCUGCACACAGCACCCCACCCCCAAUCUAUUCUUAAGUCUUUCCCAACUCAGCCAGUGGCCAUUCCAUUGUUCUGUCAUUACUCAGCCAAAAACUUUGCAGGCAUCCUUGACUCCUCACUUACCACACUACAUCCAACCCAUUCACAAGUCCUGUCCAUUCUACCUUCAGCAUGUCUCGAAUCCAACUGCUUUCACCACCUCCACCAGCUUCAAUCAGGUUCAGAUCUCUACCACAUCUCACCUGAAUUAUUCCAAGAGCCUUCUAGCUGGUAGCCUGCUUCCACCCCUGCCCCCUUAUAGUCUAUUCCCAACAAAGGAGUCUGAGAGAUAUUUUAGGUCACAUUAUGUGACUUUUCUGCCUCACUGGCUUCUCAUUUAGAAUAAAAAUCAAAUGCCUACACCCCCAACCUCUUUCCUUACCACUUUCUUCCCUCUUAUCCCUCUCCAGCCACAGUGAUCUACUCAGUGUUCCUUGAACCUGGCAGGAGAAUCCUUUGUAUAUAGCAUUUUCUCUUCUUACAACAUUUUUUCUCACGGAUAAAUGUCCUUCUCUAACUUUCUGUAGGUUUCUGCUCAAAUGCUUCCUUAUCCCUGAGGCUUUCCCUGAUCACCCUCUAUAAAAAUGGGGUGGGUGCACACACCUUCACUUUUUGUACAUUACAAAAACUAUAACAGGAUUCUUGACUGAUUUUGUAUAUUCGUAACAGUGUGCAGUACAUAAAAAUCCUUUUUUAAAAUUGCUGAACUAAUCCAUAUUUAUCACCAUCUGACAUACUCUAGAUUUCUCUUCCUGCUGGAAUGAAAACUUCAAGAACAUAGAAUAGCGCCUGGCGCCCAGUAAUUGCUCAGUAAAUACUCAGUGAAUAUAAAUGAUCUACUCUGAACUUUUAGUGUGUUCCUUUUUACUAAAAGCUUAAUAGUAAAAGACCACAUCUUAAUCAAAGGUUGUUACU
Molecule: long non-coding RNA, 4181 nt
Filed under: Homo sapiens (human)
Lineage: Eukaryota; Metazoa; Chordata; Mammalia; Primates; Hominidae
Description: HSALNT0080636
Source: RNAcentral